Molecule: ribosomal RNA, 509 nt
Filed under: fungal sp. E14916H
Lineage: Eukaryota; Fungi
Description: eukaryotic LSU rRNA
Rfam family: 5.8S ribosomal RNA (bases 153-306)
Source: RNAcentral
GAGGGAUCCGAGUCUACACUCAUCACCCUGUGACUUACCUAAAACGUUGCUUCGGCGGGAACAGACGGCCCCGUAAAACGGGCCGCCCCCGCCAGAGGACCCUUAACUCUGUUGCUAUAGUAUCUUCUGAGUAAAACAAGCAAAUAAAUUAAAACUUUCAACAACGGAUCUCUUGGCUCUGGCAUCGAUGAAGAACGCAGCGAAAUGCGAUAAGUAAUGUGAAUUGCAGAAUUCAGUGAAUCAUCGAAUCUUUGAACGCACAUUGCGCCCGCCAGUAUUCUGGCGGGCAUGCCUGUUCGAGCGUCAUUACAACCCUCAGGCCCCCGGGCCUGGCGUUGGGGAUCGGCGAGGCGCCCCCUGUGGGCACGCGCCGUCCCCCAAAUACAGUGGCGGUCCCGCCGCAGCUUCCAUUGCGUAGUAGCUAACACCUCGCAACUGGAGAGCGGCGCGGCCAUGCCGUAAAACACCCAACUUCUGAAUGUUGACCUCGAAUCAGGUAGGAAUACCCG